This 1194-nucleotide long non-coding RNA is filed under the name Coturnix japonica (Japanese quail). RNAcentral describes it as "lncRNA (ENSCJPG00005011012.1)". The record is from RNAcentral. Lineage: Eukaryota; Metazoa; Chordata; Aves; Galliformes; Phasianidae.
CAGGCUUGCAGACUCAGGCUGCCCACAUGCCAGAGAUCAAAUAUAGGGAUGUAGAAGGCUGACUGGUUCUCAGAUAGCGGGCAGAAGCGUGGGCAGGAGCUCACGUCCAGGCCCAGCCGAGGGGGCAGCUAUCCCUAUCAGCAGCACGAAGCCACAGGAGAGCCUGGGAGUGCAACUCCAGCAGCCAAAUUUGUAACGUCAAACCCUUUCAUGUGGCCUCACCGUUACCAGGCCUGCCCCAGCUUUUCUUGUCAUAGCCACAGAGCUGCUUUACUUGUUUCUUUUCGUUGACCAGGUGUCUAUUUCUCUGUUGUUUUGCUUUUGUUUGUCUUUGUGUGGUACCACAACUGUUUUAUGCAGAUAGCAGUAACAAGCUUUUGUUCCAGAUGGGGUAAGAGGUUUGCAACACUUGCAAGGUGAUGUUGUGAGCAGCAGGGCUGCAAGGAUGGCACUGACACCAGGCAGAGGUGUGGGGUACAGUGCAGAGGAGCACAGGCACAGGAAGACAAGAGAUGGGCACAGGCUGGCACUGGAAGUCCCACAGCUAUAAACAGCUUCAUCGUGCAUGCCUGGGCUGGACAAGAAUGGCUUUAGGUAUAACAAAGAGAACAAAGAAAUAGAAAAUGGCACCAUGUAUCAUAAAUUCAGGCGUCGCCUGGAUUUGCAAACCAACCAACAAAGACAAAGGUGUACGAGGAUGCUAGCAACAAACAUGUCAGCUUGAACCCAGCGCCCUUAGGACCCAGAUGAGCAGUGGAAGGGAGAAUGUGAUGCCAGAAAUAGGGGUAGAAACUAAGAAGUGUGUGUGUUACAAUUUUAAUUGCAUUAUUACUCCCUUUAAGUAUCAUACUUGUGUCAUUAUUUGCUUUUCUGUAAUACAUAGACUAAUCUAGAUCUAAACUGCGAGGAGAUUAAUUAUACUUAAUAUAAACCCAUGCAUUUGCUUAUUGACAAAUAUAUACAAUAUGCUGCUUUUCUGCCAUGAGUGAAGUUUUGAACAUAACAAAACUCAACACAGUCUUUCUUUAUUUGAGUAGUUUUUGGAAGCCCCAAGAAGAGAGGCAUUACACUGAGCGGAGGCAUUGCAGAGUCAGCUGGGUGCCUUGUCAAGGUACUGGAGAGAAAGCAGCUCAGCAAAUGCAUGGCAGAAGAACCUGCAUCAUCCUGAUUCAUCCAACUGAUCUUCUGAAGUAA